This 468-nucleotide ribosomal RNA is filed under the name uncultured bacterium. RNAcentral's name for it is "partial 16S ribosomal RNA". It matches the Rfam family "Bacterial small subunit ribosomal RNA", at positions 28 to 507 of the family's 1533-position model. The record is from RNAcentral.
GACGAACGCUGGCGGCGUGCUUAACACAUGCAAGUCGAACGGAAAGGCCCUGCUUUUGUGGGGUGCUCGAGUGGCGAACGGGUGAGUAACACGAGAGUAACCUGCCCUUGACUUUGGGAUAACUUCAGGAAACUGGGGCUAAUACCGGGUAGGAGCUCCUGCUGCAUGGUGGGGGUUGGAAAGUUUCGGCGGUUGGGGAUGGACUCGCGGCUUAUCAGCUUGUUGGUGGGGUAGUGGCUUACCAAGGCUUUGACGGGUAGCCGGCCUGAGAGGGUGACCGGCCACAUUGGGACUGAGAUACGGCCCAGACUCCUACGGGAGGCAGCAGUGGGGAAUAUUGCACAAUGGGCGGAAGCCUGAUGCAGCAACGCCGCGUGCGGGAUGACGGCCUUCGGGUUGUAAACCGCUUUCGCCUGUGACGAAGCGUGAGUGACGGUAAUGGGUAAAGAAGCACCGGCUAACUACGUG